RNAcentral lists this ribosomal RNA (200 nucleotides) under uncultured bacterium. Its description in RNAcentral is "partial 16S ribosomal RNA". It matches the Rfam family "Bacterial small subunit ribosomal RNA", at positions 28 to 239 of the family's 1533-position model. The record is from RNAcentral.
GAUGAACGCUAAGCGGCAGGCUUAAUACAUGCAAGGCGAGGGGGCAGCAAUGUCACCGUCGUACGGGUGCGUAACGCGUAUGCAACCUACCUUCAACUGGGGGAUAGCCCGGGGAAACCCGGAUUAAUACCGCAUAAUACAGGGGGCCCUCAUGGGUCUAUUUGUUAAAGAUUUAUUGGUUGAAGAUGGGCAUGCGUUCG